RNAcentral lists this ribosomal RNA (1359 nucleotides) under uncultured bacterium. RNAcentral describes it as "bacterial SSU rRNA". It matches the Rfam family "Bacterial small subunit ribosomal RNA", at positions 28 to 1381 of the family's 1533-position model. The record is from RNAcentral.
GAUGAACGCUAGCUACAGGCUUAACACAUGCAAGUCGAGGGGCAGCAUUUUAGUUUGCUUGCAAACUGAAGAUGGCGACCGGCGCACGGGUGAGUAACACGUAUCCAACCUGCCGAUAACUCCGGGAUAGCCUUUCGAAAGAAAGAUUAAUACCGGAUAGUAUACGAAUAUCGCAUGAUAUUUUUAUUAAAGAAUUUCGGUUAUCGAUGGGGAUGCGUUCCAUUAGUUUGUUGGCGGGGUAACGGCCCACCAAGACUACGAUGGAUAGGGGUUCUGAGAGGAAGGUCCCCCACAUUGGAACUGAGACACGGUCCAAACUCCUACGGGAGGCAGCAGUGAGGAAUAUUGGUCAAUGGGCGCGAGCCUGAACCAGCCAAGUAGCGUGAAGGAUGAAGGCUCUAUGGGUCGUAAACUUCUUUUAUAUGGGAAUAAAGUUUUCCACGUGUGGAAUUUUGUAUGUACCAUAUGAAUAAGGAUCGGCUAACUCCGUGCCAGCAGCCGCGGUAAUACGGAGGAUCCGAGCGUUAUCCGGAUUUAUUGGGUUUAAAGGGAGCGUAGGUGGAUUGUUAAGUCAGUUGUGAAAGUUUGCGGCUCAACCGUAAAAUUGCAGUUGAAACUGGCAGUCUUGAGUACAGUAGAGGUGGGCGGAAUUCGUGGUGUAGCGGUGAAAUGCUUAGAUAUCACGAAGAACUCCGAUUGCGAAGGCAGCUCACUAGACUGUCACUGACACUGAUGCUCGAAAGUGUGGGUAUCAAACAGGAUUAGAUACCCUGGUAGUCCACACAGUAAACGAUGAAUACUCGCUGUUUGCGAUAUACAGUAAGCGGCCAAGCGAAAGCAUUAAGUAUUCCACCUGGGGAGUACGCCGGCAACGGUGAAACUCAAAGGAAUUGACGGGGGCCCGCACAAGCGGAGGAACAUGUGGUUUAAUUCGAUGAUACGCGAGGAACCUUACCCGGGCUUAAAUUGCAACAGAAUAUAUUGGAAACAGUAUAGCCGUAAGGCUGUUGUGAAGGUGCUGCAUGGUUGUCGUCAGCUCGUGCCGUGAGGUGUCGGCUUAAGUGCCAUAACGAGCGCAACCCUUAUCUUUAGUUACUAACAGGUUAUGCUGAGGACUCUAGAGAGACUGCCGUCGUAAGAUGUGAGGAAGGUGGGGAUGACGUCAAAUCAGCACGGCCCUUACGUCCGGGGCUACACACGUGUUACAAUGGGGGGUACAGAAGGCGGCUACCUGGUGACAGGAUGCUAAUCCCAAAAACCUCUCUCAGUUCGGAUCGAAGUCUGCAACCCGACCUCGUGAAGCUGGAUUCGCUAGUAAUCGCGCAUCAGCCAUGGCGCGGUGAAUACGUUCCCGGGCCU